GUUCUACUCCCUCCGCCCGGAAAUACUUGUCGGAUAAAUGAAUAAAAAUGGAUGUAUCUAAAACUAAAAUAUGUCUAGAUACAUCCAUUUCUUCGACAAAUGUUUUCGGGCGGAGGGAGUAUUGG
Non-coding RNA from Triticum urartu, 125 nucleotides. NCBI's taxonomy places the organism in Eukaryota, Viridiplantae, Streptophyta, Magnoliopsida, Poales, Poaceae. The record is from Rfam.